Molecule: unclassified non-coding RNA, 1417 nt
Filed under: Hevea brasiliensis (rubber tree)
Lineage: Eukaryota; Viridiplantae; Streptophyta; Magnoliopsida; Malpighiales; Euphorbiaceae
Source: RNAcentral
ACCGGAUAAUGGAUCUGAGAGAACACUUCUUAAUGAUGGUUCUUUAUUAAAGUUAUAAUGAGCAACAUAGUUAUUAUCAGGUCGAUUGCACAUUACAUCCUCCUCAGCAGAAAGGUCAUCCAUAAACUGGCUUACAGAUAUUGGCACAUAGCUUUGAGGAAUAACAUGACCAGCUGCUGCAAUCGGAGAACAAUCUAAUACGGCAUUACCCUGUGGCAUAAGCCUAAAUGCCAAUGAUGUCCUCCCACCACUGUUAGUGCCAGAUGAGUAAUCAGGUGCAGCUCUAUAUGACACAGCAGGACGAAGGCCAGCAGUAGCAUGGCUAAGUGCCUUGCCAGUAAUCAGUAAAAGAUCCCCAGGAGCUGAACCACAAUCUGCCAGGUACCAUCGACCAUUGGGGUCACAAACCUGUAGACCAGGAUUAUCUGAAGAAACCAGCGUUAACAAUCCCUUCUCAACUUCACCAUUAACUGUUGGCUUCCCUCCUCCAAUAGCCCCCUUUCCAUUUUGCAACGACACAUGGGAAUAGGUUGCAAGAAGCACUGACGAGGACACCUCAUUUGCAGGUAAGGGGGUAUCAUCAAGUAAAUGAUUGAAAACAUCGCUUCGCAAACGAAGAUGCCUUGCUAUUGCACACAGAGCAGCACGAGCUGCCUUUCCCAUGCAUCUAAAUAUUUCUGCCAUGCAUGGAGGAGAAGAAUCACAAUCUUCCAAAGCCCUUCCAGCCCUGUACAUGUAUAACCCACGGCUGCCUCCCUUACUGCCACCGCUCUGAACCCGAGUCCUAAAAAACAUGCGCGCCGCUUCCAACCCACAUCUCAUGAGCGCCGCGUCCUCACUGCCCAAUUCAAUAACCACCGCAUUAUGCCUCAUCAAGGACCCAGAAAGCGCCUCUACCGCCUUCAUGUAAGGUCCAGCCGGAGCCCCAUCAAACGGUGCUAUAUCAGAUAGCCUGACCCUUGCAAGCAUCAGCACUGGCUCACCGGACUGUUGCACAGCAGUGAUGGGCGGAGCGAUUACAUGAUCGGCAGACAGCGAUGGCAGCGGUUGGCGGUGAGAAAUGGAAUGUGGAGCAAGAGAAAGAGGCGAUUGAGUAGGGGUUGUGGGGGAUCUAAGGGUGGAAGAAUUGGGCUGUGACGGUAGUCCAGAGGAGGUCAGCGGCGGUGGCUGCAUCAUCAUCACAACAACCAUUUAUCAUUCUGAUGAGAUGGUUGGAGGGUUUAAGAAGAUGGGAAUCUUGAAUGAGCCAUUUGGUUUUGGAGAAGAAAAAGGAAAACCCAGUUGGGAUUUGGAAGAAGUGAAUGCGUGUUGGCUGAGAAGCGACUGAGAGAGCUUGAAAUUAAGGUUGUCUUUUAGAAGACGAAGACUGUAUCUGUGUGAAUAUUUUGAAGCUGAGUGGAGUUUGCUGGAGACCAAG